Non-coding RNA from Delphinapterus leucas (beluga whale), 148 nucleotides. The record is from RefSeq and is a predicted model, not a curated record. Lineage: Eukaryota; Metazoa; Chordata; Mammalia; Artiodactyla; Monodontidae.
AUCCGCGACGCCCGCCCCGCCCCCGGGCCCGUGAGGAGGCUGGGGUCCCGGGAGGGGGAGGGAACCGCAGCGCCUGCUCCCAGACCGUGAGCCCGGAUCUUGUUAAAAUACGUAUUUGAUUGGUUAAGAAUCCUCCUGCCAAUGCAGG